AGUGAACGCUGGCGGUAGGCCUAACACAUGCAAGUCGAACGGCAGCACAGUAAGAGCUUGCUCUUACGGGUGGCGAGUGGCGGACGGGUGAGGAAUACAUCGGAAUCUACUUUUUCGUGGGGGAUAACGUAGGGAAACUUACGCUAAUACCGCAUACGUCCUACGGGUGAAAGCAGGGGAUCUUCGGACCUUGUGCGAUUGAAUGAGCCGAUGUCGGAUUAGCUAGUUGGCGGGGUAAAGGCCCACCAAGGCGACGAUCCGUAGCUGGUCUGGAAGGAGGAGCAGCCACGCUGGAACUAAGACACGGUCCGGACUCCUACGAGAGGCAGCAGUGGGAAAUAUUGGACAAUGGGAGCAAGCCUGAUCCAGCCAUACCGCGUGAGUGAAGAAGGCCUUCGGGUUGUAAAGCCCUUUUGUUGGGAAAGAAAAGCAGCAGGUUAAUACCCCGCUGUUAUGACGGUACCCAAAGAAUAAGCACCGGCUAACUUCGUG
Molecule: ribosomal RNA, 492 nt
Filed under: uncultured bacterium
Lineage: Bacteria
Description: partial 16S ribosomal RNA
Rfam family: Bacterial small subunit ribosomal RNA
Source: RNAcentral